AUGAAUGAUUUUCUUUAGUUGUUGAUCCCAACGUUGCUUUAUGAUUUCUGUAUAAGGCUUGUAUAGUCUUUUGUUGUAGUUAAACAAUUUCUUGAUGCCCAAAUGAACCCUAUACAUGCCUUCAUACACAUAUCCCAUCGAAGGCCUCUCAUCACAAUCAACAAUACGCAAUAAGCACAUUAGUGGAGACAUAAGAUUCACAAUAAUCAAACAAUCAUUCCAAAAUCUAUU
Molecule: long non-coding RNA, 231 nt
Filed under: Vitis vinifera (wine grape)
Lineage: Eukaryota; Viridiplantae; Streptophyta; Magnoliopsida; Vitales; Vitaceae
Description: long non-coding RNA (VVIN_LNC000468)
Source: RNAcentral